GUGAAUAUUAAAGGAAGCAGAUGAAUUCAUGACAAAAUUGUGUUUUGGUGAUGGUGAUGUGUUUGUACAUCUUACUUUACUGAACAUUCUUGCUGCUUAAAAUUAUCUCUAUCUAUAAUGAACUUGGCCAUUAGUUUCAGUGGAAAAUGUUAGUAAAAAUUUACAAAUUUUAUGAAAAUUGUUAAAAAUUGACUAUAAAGAACAAUAACUCCUAAGGGGGUCAAUUGACCAUUUUGGUCAUGUUGACUUAUUUGUAAAUCUUACUUUGCUGAACAUUAUUGUUGUUUACAGUUUAUCUCUAUCAAUAAUAAUAUUCAAGAUAAU
This 324-nucleotide long non-coding RNA is filed under the name Mytilus galloprovincialis (Mediterranean mussel). The record is from RNAcentral. Lineage: Eukaryota; Metazoa; Mollusca; Bivalvia; Mytilida; Mytilidae.